Long non-coding RNA from Biomphalaria glabrata, 382 nucleotides. RefSeq lists it as uncharacterized. The transcript has 3 exons. Lineage: Eukaryota; Metazoa; Mollusca; Gastropoda; Planorbidae. The record is from RefSeq and is a predicted model, not a curated record.
UUACUUUCAGCUGUGAGACAAUUUGUGGCUUAUUCUCGCAGAUGUCAGAAGACCUAAGUAGAUAUAAACGUUUACAGCGUCUGGAUGCUUACUGCAGACAACUCACGAGUGGGCCAAUAAGGAUACUGCUCUGUUAUUAAUAUCCAAAAUGAAGUGUACAAUUUUGUAUUUCUUUCUGGCCCUGUGUUUUGUCUUUUGGGAUGUAACUUCUGGAAUCAAAUUCAAUCUGGAAGGCUUAAGAAGCCUUCUUGACAAUAAGCCAACAAAUCAAAGACUUUUAGACCAGACGAAUGGAGAUUCUGAAACAGAAAGACUUCAAUCUAGAGUGCUCCAGCCACCAAAAAGUUCUACAAUCAUCAAUGGACAUAAUCCAAAGUCUGUU